This 407-nucleotide unclassified non-coding RNA is filed under the name Hevea brasiliensis (rubber tree). The record is from RNAcentral. Lineage: Eukaryota; Viridiplantae; Streptophyta; Magnoliopsida; Malpighiales; Euphorbiaceae.
UUUCUUGGCACAUUCAUCACUAUGAUAUUUGAUUUGUGCCAAGGUUGGAUUUGGUGGCAAAGGUGUUGGAUCUCUUCAAAUAUCUACUACAUCCCACAAGUCAUGAGCUCUAUAAAAUACUGUCAUUUUUACAGCCUAAAAAUCAUAGUUCUCACCUGCAAAAAUAGGUGGAGCAGGAAAUGAACCAUUGCUGGAGGACAUUUUUUGGAUAACCUCUCAAAUUUUUGGUGAAACAACUCUCAAAUCUCUUAAAAUUCACAAAGAUAGACACAGGCUUCUUAAGAUGAAAGCUCUAAUACCAUUUGUUGGAUUUGAAGGGAGAAAAAAUUAAGAAUGGAUUUAUGGUAGAACAAGUAGGAGAAAGAAAAACAUAAAUUCAUUAUUAAAACAGAGGAUUUACAUAUACA